Long non-coding RNA from Amphiprion ocellaris (clown anemonefish), 659 nucleotides. The record is from Ensembl. NCBI's taxonomy places the organism in Eukaryota, Metazoa, Chordata, Actinopteri, Pomacentridae.
GUUGACUUGUGAACCGACCGGUGAACCGCGAGCAACUUUCGAGUGGAACUAACCGCUGAUUCUUCAGUGACAAACUUAGCUUGGGCUACAAAAAAAGUGACUCUGUGACUUUUUAAAAAGUUGUCAGGACGUAAAUGAUAGGAAGACAUUUUAGACGAUAAGUGGCCAGACCUGUCAAACACCUGUAUACAGGUGGAGGUUAGCAAACCGGAGCGUCCAUUACAGCUCACAGCACGAUGAGCGGCAUCAAAGUGUCAGUUGGAGAAAGAGAGUCACCAAGAGCAGAAGAGGAUAAGCCUUUCCAAUUCUAUGCAUGAAGACCUGUGAGAAAGGAGGGGGAGCCACCAUCCUGUGGAAGGGAAAUAAAUUUGCCUGUCCAUCCACCGCCUGGAUGAAAUUAAUUGCAGACUCCUCAUGCUGUCUGGAGAGGCUCCCCAUCUGGAUGGAAGACAGUCCUCUGUGUGCCUGAUUAAUGGUGUGGAGAGACAGUUGCCAGUUCUGAAGCCUUGCUGUCUGGCCCAGGUCAAAACUUCCAGAAGGCAACCUAAUGGUAAGGUGUGAAAGGAUCAUUCCAAGUCUCAAAGGAGAGGCUUCUUUCAAUAUCCUCAAAGUAGCGGAUCCCACCCACUCAAUUGUUCUCUACAUAAUCAUAUAAAAAG